UACGGAGGGGGCUAGCGUUGUUCGGAAUUACUAGGCGUAAAGCGCACGUAGGCGGCCACUCAAGUCAGAGGUGAAAGCCCAGGGCUCAACCUUGGAAUUGCCUUUGAAACUAGGUGGCUUGAACAUAGGUGAGGCGAGUGGAAUUCCGAGUGUAGAGGUGAAAUUCGUAGAUAUUCGGAAGAACACCAGUGGCGAAGGCGACUCGCUGGACUAUUGUUGACGCUGAGGUGCGAAAGCGUGGGGAGCAAACAGG
RNAcentral lists this ribosomal RNA (253 nucleotides) under uncultured bacterium. RNAcentral's name for it is "partial 16S ribosomal RNA". It matches the Rfam family "Bacterial small subunit ribosomal RNA", at positions 524 to 776 of the family's 1533-position model. The record is from RNAcentral.